This 387-nucleotide ribosomal RNA is filed under the name uncultured Pseudomonas sp. RNAcentral describes it as "bacterial SSU rRNA". It matches the Rfam family "Bacterial small subunit ribosomal RNA", at positions 1000 to 1382 of the family's 1533-position model. The record is from RNAcentral. Lineage: Bacteria; Pseudomonadati; Pseudomonadota; Gammaproteobacteria; Pseudomonadales; Pseudomonadaceae.
CCAGAGAUGGAUUGGUGGCCUUCGGGAACUCUGACACAGGUGCUGCAUGGCUGUCGUCAGGCUCGUGUCGUGAGAUGUUGGGUUAAGUCCCGUAACGAGCGCAACCCUUGUCCUUAGUUACCAGGCACGUUAUGGUGGGCACUCUAAGGAGACUGCCGGUGGACAAACCGGAGGAAGGUGGGGAUGACGUCAAGUCAUCAUGGCCCUUACGGCCUGGGCUACACACGUGCUACAAUGGUCGGUACAAAGGGUUGCCAAGCCGCGAGGUGGAGCUAAUCCCAUAAAACCGAUCGUAGUCCGGAUCGCAGUCUGCAACUCGACUGCGUGAAGUCGGAAUCGCUAGUAAUCGUGAAUCAGAAUGUCACGGUGAAUACGUUCCCGGGCCUU